UGAUCCUUUCUUGCUUUUGACUAAGAAUUAUACAUCUUUGAAUGAUCUUCUGCAUGUGUGGAGUAUCCUUCUAAAUACCAGGGCUUCUGUGGAAAGAUAAUGAGAAAUGUUCUCUGUACCAGGAUCAGCACUGCUCCACACUUGCAUUAAGACCCGCUGAAGGAAGUGCUUCUGCCAGGAGGAGCAGAUAAACUGGAAUACUUCCAGGAGCUCUGGCAGGUACAUGCUGAAUGUCUUCAAGGACCUGGGUGAUGCUCAGCAAGUCAGUGAUGACACUGUAGUGAACUGGACCCUGAAAGAAUCUAGCAAGUCCACCUGCAUCCCAGAACUUCAAGGUGAAGAUUCCCCUUUUGUGUCCAAAAGGAGUGGCAGUUCCUAAUCACAGAAUCUUUCAGUCAGGUAGUGCUUCUAGAAAUCAAAUUGUUGUCCUUGUCAGUAAUGCUGGAGUAGUGGUUGGCUGGACUACCUUCCCUAAUUGAGAGCAAUGCAAAUCAACUCAAGCACUUCUUCGCAAUGAUCUCUCCUGUUUGCUCAGGCUUAUGAAAUGCUCACCCACUGAUCAGGGUUUGGAGAUUGAGCCCUUGUCUUUUUCUCAUCUUGUUGAAUCAUCAUAAGUUGUCAGGUUUUAAGUAUUUCUGUUAAACCGUGGCUUUGAAAUGUGUAUUCUGUGACUAUUAUGUAGUAGCAGAAUGACAGGCAGUUUUCAGGUCAAUAAUAGUCUUAGUUGAUUAUUUCUAAAAAUGCAAACAGAAGGAAGAAUGUAAAUGUUAGCUGAUAAGUCCUCGAUUAUGCAUGCUAGCUAUUAGCCCUUACAAAUAUUAAUUACAACUUUUAACAGUUGGUAAAGUGGUCUUGACAUUUCAAAGGUGAAUUUACACAUUAAAGACACUUGUCUCUGCUGUGGAAAGAUCAAAAUGCAUGCAUAAAACUGGUGUGACAGGACUGCUACACAUCUUGAAGACUGAAUCUUAGUAAAGAGGGUAUUAGGUGAAAUUAUGGUGGGCAGGGGCAGAGCUAAUGUGCCAGUUUUG
This 1031-nucleotide long non-coding RNA is filed under the name Gallus gallus (chicken). Its description in RNAcentral is "lncRNA (ENSGALG00010008589.1)". Lineage: Eukaryota; Metazoa; Chordata; Aves; Galliformes; Phasianidae. The record is from RNAcentral.